GAUGAAGAACGCAGCGAAAUGCGAUACGUAAUGUGAAUUGCAGAUUUCAGUGAAUCAUCGAAUCUUUGAACGCACAUUGCGCCCGCCAGUAUUCUGGCGGGCAUGCCUGUUCGAGCGUCAUUUCAACCAUCAAGCCUUCGCUUGUGUUGGGGCCCCGCGGCUGCCGCGGUCCCCUAAAUCCAGUGGCGGGCUCGCCGUCGUACCGAGCGCAGUAGACAUCCUCGCUCCGGGAACCCGACGGGUGCCGGCCGUGAAACCCCCCACAUCAAGGUUGACCUCGGAUCAGGUAGGAAUACCCGCUGAACUUAAGCAUAUCAAUAAGCGGAGGA
Molecule: unclassified non-coding RNA, 329 nt
Filed under: soil metagenome
Description: partial contains 5.8S ribosomal RNA, internal transcribed spacer 2, and large subunit ribosomal RNA
Rfam family: 5.8S ribosomal RNA (bases 1-120)
Source: RNAcentral